Non-coding RNA from Phycodurus eques (leafy seadragon), 75 nucleotides. Lineage: Eukaryota; Metazoa; Chordata; Actinopteri; Syngnathiformes; Syngnathidae. The record is from the annotation of a RefSeq genome assembly.
GGCCGGUUAGCUCAGUUGGACUAGAGCGUGGUGCUAAUAACGCCAAGGUCACGGGUUCGACCCCCGUACGGGCCA